Molecule: long non-coding RNA, 331 nt
Organism: Oreochromis aureus
Lineage: Eukaryota; Metazoa; Chordata; Actinopteri; Cichliformes; Cichlidae
Source: Ensembl
GAAAGUAGAAGUUUUCAGACGUGUCACUGCUGGAUGUGAGGAUGGGAGCCACUUUGCUCUGUGAGCUGGGCCUAUUCUUGCUCUGUACGCUCCUCUGUACUGGACACGCUCAAGAUGCUGUGCUAACUAUUGAACCCAGCUGGUCCAGUUUAUUUUUCAUUGGAGAGUUUGUUACCUUCAAAUGUGACAUGAAUGAAGGAAAAGACACUGACUGGAAAUACAAAAUCAACAAGGAUGGUCAAGACUUUUUCUCCUACAGGAUAAACAAAGACUACAAAUUAAAAAUGACAUCUACAGGUGACAGUGGUGAAUAUCAGUGCUUUGGUCUCAG